RNAcentral lists this transfer RNA (69 nucleotides) under Astictopterus jama. RNAcentral's name for it is "tRNA-Leu". Lineage: Eukaryota; Metazoa; Arthropoda; Insecta; Lepidoptera; Hesperiidae. The record is from RNAcentral.
ACUAUUUUGGCAGAAAAGAUGUAGUGAUUUUAGAAGUCAUAAAUGUAUAAUUAUAAUAUAUAAGUAGUA